CCUACGGGAGGCAGCAGUAGGGAAUAUUGCUCAAUGGGGGAAACCCUGAAGCAGCAACGCCGCGUGGAGGAUGAAGGUUUUCGGAUUGUAAACUCCUUUUGUUAGAGAAGAUAAUGACGGUAUCUAACGAAUAAGCACCGGCUAAUUCCGUGCCAGCAGCCGCGGUAAUACGGCGGGUGCAAGCGUUACUCGGAAUCACUGGGCGUAAAGAGGGCGUAGGCGGGAUAGCAAGUCAGAUGUGAAAUCCUAUGGCUUAACCAUAGAAAUGCAUUUGAAACUGUUAUUCUAGAGUAUGGGAGAGGGAGGUGGAAUUCUUGGUGUAGGGGUAAAAUCCGUAGAGAUCAAGAGGAAUACUCAUUGCGAAGGCGACCUGCUAGAACAUAACUGACGCUGAUGCGCGAAAGCGUGGGGAGCAAACAGGAUUAGAUACCCUAGUAGUC
RNAcentral lists this ribosomal RNA (440 nucleotides) under uncultured bacterium. RNAcentral's name for it is "partial 16S ribosomal RNA". It matches the Rfam family "Bacterial small subunit ribosomal RNA", at positions 338 to 795 of the family's 1533-position model. The record is from RNAcentral.